UUGAAGCGUUACGGUAAGUUAAGACUUUAUGAAUGAAAUGAUCGAAACGUUGUAAGAGUGAAUAGUCAAAGUUGAGAACAGGGAGCAGAGUCCAGAGGUUUACCCAACGUUUGGAGAGAAUUUGGGAUUGAAGAGCUAGUUUGGUGUGUCGAUGAAGGAGAAUAUGUAGAUGAGAAGAACAUCUGGUAAGGAGCUGAGUCUGUCUUGUUGGUCUUCAUGUUCAACAUCGUUGUAGAUGUUGCUGGUAAAGGGGAAAUGGAGAAAUGGUAUGGAGUAAUAAAGUGUGUGUACACUUUUGCAGAGUUGGCUACGUAA
RNAcentral lists this long non-coding RNA (315 nucleotides) under Helianthus annuus (common sunflower). Its description in RNAcentral is "hypothetical non coding rna". The record is from RNAcentral. Lineage: Eukaryota; Viridiplantae; Streptophyta; Magnoliopsida; Asterales; Asteraceae.